GCUGGAUGUGGUGGCGCAUGCCUGUAAUCCCUGUAGCUCAGGAGGCUGAGACAGGAGGAUCACAAGCUUAAAACCAGCCUCAGCAAGUUAGAGAGGCCCUAAGCAACUCAGCAAUACUCUGUCUCAA
Molecule: small RNA, 127 nt
Filed under: Marmota monax (woodchuck)
Lineage: Eukaryota; Metazoa; Chordata; Mammalia; Rodentia; Sciuridae
Source: RNAcentral